RNAcentral lists this ribosomal RNA (253 nucleotides) under uncultured bacterium. RNAcentral describes it as "partial 16S ribosomal RNA". It matches the Rfam family "Bacterial small subunit ribosomal RNA", at positions 524 to 776 of the family's 1533-position model. The record is from RNAcentral.
GCCAGAGGGUGCAAACGUUGUUCGGAAUUACUGGGCGUAAAGCGUGUGUAGGCGGUCCACUAAGUCGGAUGUGAAAGCCCUGGGCUCAACCCAGGAAGUGCACUCGAAACUGGCGGGCUAGAGUAUCGGAGAGGUUGGUGGAAUUCUCGGUGUAGAGGUGAAAUUCGUAGAUAUCGAGAGGAACACCGGUGGCGAAGGCGGCCAACUGGACGAAUACUGACGCUGAGACACGAAAGCGUGGGGAGCAAACAGG